Molecule: small nucleolar RNA, 125 nt
Filed under: Castor canadensis (American beaver)
Lineage: Eukaryota; Metazoa; Chordata; Mammalia; Rodentia; Castoridae
Description: Small nucleolar RNA SNORA51 (ENSCCNG00000017175.1)
Rfam family: Small nucleolar RNA SNORA51
About the family: ACA51 is a member of the H/ACA class of snoRNA that guide the sites of modification of uridines to pseudouridines.
Source: Rfam by way of RNAcentral
GGCCUCCUGGCUGAAGGCAGACACUCUUACAUGGACAACACAGGAGGAGGAAAAAUAAACUUACCCCCUGUACACCUCAGCCCCAGGCCCUGUGCCUGGUCUGUAUUAUGAAUGAGGAGACAUGA